This 495-nucleotide ribosomal RNA is filed under the name uncultured bacterium. RNAcentral's name for it is "partial 16S ribosomal RNA". It matches the Rfam family "Bacterial small subunit ribosomal RNA", at positions 28 to 507 of the family's 1533-position model. The record is from RNAcentral.
GAUGAACGCUGGCGGCGUGCCUAAUACAUGCAAGUAGAACGCUGAAGGAGGAGCUUGCUCUUCUGGAUGAGUUGCGAACGGGUGAGUAACGCGUAGGUAACCUGCCUGGUAGCGGGGGAUAACUAUUGGAAACGAUAGCUAAUACCGCAUGACAACAGUUAUUGCAUGAUAACUGUUUAAAAGGGGCAACUGCUCCACUACCAGAUGGACCUGCGUUGUAUUAGCUAGUUGGUGAGGUAACGGCUCACCAAGGCGACGAUACAUAGCCGACCUGAGAGGGUGAUCGGCCACACUGGGACUGGGACACGGCCCAGACUCCUACGGGAGGCAGCAGUAGGGAAUCUUCGGCAAUGGACGGAAGUCUGACCGAGCAACGCCGCGUGAGUGAAGAAGGUUUUCGGAUCGUAAAGCUCUGUUGUAAGAGAAGAACGAGUGUGAGAGUGGAAAGUUCACACUGUGACGUUAUCUUACCAGAAAGGGACGGCUAACUACGUG